GAUGAAGAACGUAGCGAAAUGCGAUAAGUAAUGCGAAUUGCAGAAUUCCAGUGAGUCAUCGAAUCUUUGAACGCACAUUGCGCCCGCCAGUAUUCUGGCGGGCAUGCCUGUUCGAGCGUCAUUUCAACCAUCAAGCCCCAGGCUUGUGUUGGGGACCUGCGGCUGCCGCAGGCCCUGAAAACCAGUGGCGGGCUCGCUGUCACACCGGGCGUAGUAGAUUUUAUCUCGCUCUGGGCGUGCUGCGGGUUCCGGCCGUUAAAAAACCCUUUUAACCCAAGGUUGACCUCGGAUCAGGUAGGAAUACCCGCUGAACUUAAGCAUAUCAAUAAGCGGAGGA
RNAcentral lists this unclassified non-coding RNA (337 nucleotides) under soil metagenome. Its description in RNAcentral is "partial contains 5.8S ribosomal RNA, internal transcribed spacer 2, and large subunit ribosomal RNA". The stretch from base 1 to 121 matches the Rfam family "5.8S ribosomal RNA", at positions 35 to 154 of the family's 154-position model. The record is from RNAcentral.